UGAGGAAUAUUGGUCAAUGGACGGAAGUCUGAACCAGCCAAGUAGCGUGCAGGACGACGGCCCUAUGGGUUGUAAACUGCUUUUAUGUGGGAAUAAAGUCAGGGACGUGUCCCUGUUUGCAUGUACCACAGGAAUAAGGACCGGCAAAUUCCGUGCCAGCAGCCGCGGUAAUACGGAAGGUCCGGGCGUUAUCCGGAUUUAUUGGGUUUAAAGGGAGCGUAGGCCGGAGGGUAAGCGUGUUGUGAAAUGCAGUUGCUCAACAUCUGCACUGCAGCGCGAACUGUUCUCCUUGAGUACCGGAAGGGCAGAUGGAAUUCCUGGUGUAGCGGUGAAAUGCGUAGAG
This 343-nucleotide ribosomal RNA is filed under the name uncultured Prevotella sp. Its description in RNAcentral is "bacterial SSU rRNA". It matches the Rfam family "Bacterial small subunit ribosomal RNA", at positions 355 to 695 of the family's 1533-position model. Lineage: Bacteria; Pseudomonadati; Bacteroidota; Bacteroidia; Bacteroidales; Prevotellaceae. The record is from RNAcentral.